AUUGAACGCUGGCGGCAGGCCUAACACAUGCAAGUCGAACGCUCGUAGCAAUACGGGAGUGGCAGACGGGUGAGUAACGCGUGGGAACGUACCCUUUGGUUCGGAACAACUCCGGGAAACUGGAGCUAAUACCGGAUGAGCCCUACGGGGGAAAGAUUUAUCGCCGAAGGAUCGGCCCGCGUCGGAUUAGCUAGUUGGUGAGGUAACGGCUCACCAAGGCGACGAUCCGUAGCUGGUCUGAGAGGAUGAUCAGCCACACUGGGACUGAGACACGGCCCAGACUCCUACGGGAGGCAGCAGUGGGGAAUAUUGGACAAUGGGCGCAAGCCUGAUCCAGCCAUGCCGCGUGAGUGAUGAAGGCCUUAGGGUUGUAAAGCUCUUUCGCCAGGGACGAUAAUGACGGUACCUGGAUAAGAAGCCCCGGCUAACUUCGUGCCAGCAGCCGCCGUAA
Molecule: ribosomal RNA, 451 nt
Filed under: uncultured bacterium
Lineage: Bacteria
Description: partial 16S ribosomal RNA
Rfam family: Bacterial small subunit ribosomal RNA
Source: RNAcentral